This 642-nucleotide ribosomal RNA is filed under the name Triticum aestivum (bread wheat). RNAcentral describes it as "partial small subunit ribosomal RNA". Lineage: Eukaryota; Viridiplantae; Streptophyta; Magnoliopsida; Poales; Poaceae. The record is from RNAcentral.
AUGGGGAGCCCUCCCGACCAUGGUGCUCCCAAAGUACCCCCUCCCCCAAGUGCCUUCUCUCAAAGCGUUGUUGCAUAUGAUGAAAAUCAGAAACCAACCUUGAAGGAGGCUCUGUGUCUUGGUGACGCCAUUUCAGAUCUGCCCACGGUAAGCAACGAUGAAACUGCGGAUGAAACUGUGUAUAGUGUGAAAGCAGAGACGGAAUUCCAGCGCUAUAUCCGGCUAAGUCGUAAAGAGAUGCUGGACUACUCAUUUGGUGAUAACAAAUGUCCCUCAGAAGGUAAGCUCCUGGAUCACCGGCCUUUGAAGCUGAACAAAGAUGACUAUGAGCGUGUUAAGCAAAUACCAUAUCAGAAGAUACAUGCAAGUCGGCAACGCGGUGGCGGUCCCAGUCGGCCGUGCGUUGGGGUAUGCGCUGGCCCAGGCGUUCCUGCGCAAGUCGGAGGGGAACAGCAACCCGCUGAUCGUGCUGCCCGACGACUUCUCCGACGUGGCCACGAUGAGGGCGAGGGCAAGGGCAGCGUCGGCUGCUGCCGAGGUGGCGGCGGAGGAGUUGGAAGGAGCUUGAGACCUGAGUUCAUCUGGGAACAACUAAUCACUAGCUAUCAUGAUGACUCGUUAGGAUGGGUGGGAGACGAGUAA